CCCUUAGACGUUCUGGGCCGCACGCGCGCUACACUGACCAGUGCAACAAGCAUCCGUCCUUGGCCGACAGGCCCGGGCAAUCUUUGAACGCUGGUCGUGAUGGGGAUAGACUUUUGCAAUUUUUGGUCUUCAACGAGGAAUUCCUAGUAAGCGCAAGUCAUCAGCUUGCGUUGAUUACGUCCCUGCCCUUUGUACACACCGCCCGUCGCUCCUACCGAUUGAAUGGUCCGGUGAAAUCUCGGGACGGCGGCUUGGUCGCUUGCGUCCGACUGCUGAAACUUGAUUAAACCAUAUCAUUUAGAGGAAGGUGAAGUCGUANCA
This 321-nucleotide ribosomal RNA is filed under the name uncultured eukaryote. RNAcentral describes it as "partial 18S ribosomal RNA". It matches the Rfam family "Eukaryotic small subunit ribosomal RNA", at positions 1470 to 1796 of the family's 1831-position model. The record is from RNAcentral.